AUGGCGUUGGAGGAGCAGUUGGCGGCGCUCGCCAAGGCCAUCGCUGAUGGGCAAGCGGCCAACGAGACUCGUCUGGAUGCGAUCCAGCAAUUGCUGGAUCUCUGGCGCCCGGCGGUGCAGAAUCUCCAAGGCCAACUCGACGAGCUCCGUACCCAAGUGGGCAGGAUCGCGCUCCACCCCGCGCUCGUGGAUCGGACGCCCGCCACGGAGGAGCAACUGGGGCGUCCGGCUCCGACGCCACCGUCCGUCGUCCUGGGGCACCACGGGCCAAGUGGCCACAACGACGUCCGCGACUACAGGGGUCAGGCACACGGGGUGGUCACCACCCUGCAGCCACCCCCGACCAACGGUGCGUCGGACUCAAACCCCUUUCCUCCUCGCGUCUUCUCUGGGCUUGAUCUGGUAGAGCAGAGAAAGGAAGUGGAGCAUAGAGGGUGGGCAUCAGCAAGUCACGCCAAUUGGGCUCUCCCAAAAGUGGAUUUUCCUCCUUUUGACGGGGAUAACCCACAAUUUUGGAGGACGAGAUGUGAGAAGUAUUUUGAAGUUUAUGGGGUACAACAGGAGUUGUGGGUGCGCUUGGCAACGUUGCAUUUCACUGGAAAUGCAGCGAGAUGGCUCCAGUUGCAAGAGGCUAAGCAUGGCUCGCUGUCUUGGGAGGGUUUGUGUUCAGGGUUGUGUGAAAAAUUUGGGAGAGAGCAAUACCAAGCACACAUCCGUCAAUUUAACACGCUGCGUCAGAGAGGCACUGUUAGUGAAUAUAUGGCCCAAUUUGAGGAGCUGAUGCAUCAUAUUCUUGCACAUAAUUCGGGCUUUGAUUCUGGCUAUUUUACCACACUAUUUUUGGAGGGGCUUCGUCACGACAUUCGUGCCGGAGUCAUGCUCCACCAACCAAAAGAUCUGGAUUCCGCCUUCUCUUUGGCGUCGAUGCAGGAGGAGCUGUUGGAGGCGAUGCCCCGACGCGAGUACCGACGUCAGGAAGCACCAAACCGGCAAGGGGCACGCCCACUGCUGGCGUUGGCAGAUCCACCAGCGCGUCAAAUGCUGCAUGGGCCACCUGCGGCCGCCGAAGAUCGUCGUGCAGUGGACGCGGCGAAUGUGCAAGACCAAGAUGGCCGUGGCGACGAUCGGGUGGCCGCUCUCCGCAACUACCGACGAGCCCGUGGCCUUUGCUUCAAGUGUGGGGAACGAUGGCACUACUAG
RNAcentral lists this ribosomal RNA (1200 nucleotides) under Triticum aestivum (bread wheat). RNAcentral's name for it is "partial small subunit ribosomal RNA". The record is from RNAcentral. Lineage: Eukaryota; Viridiplantae; Streptophyta; Magnoliopsida; Poales; Poaceae.